RNAcentral lists this ribosomal RNA (492 nucleotides) under uncultured bacterium. RNAcentral describes it as "partial 16S ribosomal RNA". It matches the Rfam family "Bacterial small subunit ribosomal RNA", at positions 29 to 507 of the family's 1533-position model. The record is from RNAcentral.
AGUGAACGCUGGCGGUAGGCCUAACACAUGCAAGUCGAACGGCAGCACAGUAAGAGCUUGCUCUUACGGGUGGCGAGUGGCGGACGGGUGAGGAAUACAUCGGAAUCUACUUUUUCGUGGGGGAUAACGUAGGGAAACUUACGCUAAUACCGCAUACGACCUACGGGUGAAAGCAGGGGAUCUUCGGACCUUGCGCGAUUGAAUGAGCCGAUGUCGGAUUAGCUAGUUGGCGGGGGAAAGGCCGACCAAGGCGACGAUCCGUAGCUGGUCUGAGAGGAUGAUCAGCCACCCUGGAACUGAGACACGUUCCAGACUCCUACGGUAGGCAGCAGUGGGGAAUAUUGGACAAUGGGCGCAAGCCUGAUCCUGCCAUACCGCGUGGGUGAAGAAGGCCUUCGGGUUGUAAAGCCCUUUUGUUGGGAAAGAAAAGCAGCAGGUUAAUACCCCGCUGUUCUGACGGUACCCAAAGAAUAAGCACCGGCUAACUUCGUG